CCUACGGGCGGCAGCAGUGAGGAAUAUUGGUCAAUGGACGAGAGUCUGAACCAGCCAAGUAGCGUGAAGGAUGACUGCCCUAUGGGUUGUAAACUUCUUUUAUAUGGGAAUAAAAUGUUCCACGUGUGGGAUUUUGUAUGUACCAUAUGAAUAAGGAUCGGCUAACUCCGUGCCAGCAGCCGCGGUAAUACGGAGGAUCCGAGCGUUAUCCGGAUUUAUUGGGUUUAAAGGGAGCGUAGGUGGAUUGUAAAGUCAGUUGUGAAAGUUUGCGGCUCAACCGUAAAAUUGCAGUUGAAACUGGCAGUCUUGAGUACAGUAGAGGUGGGCGGAAUUCGUGGUGUAGCGGUGAAAUGCUUAGAUAUCACGAAGAACUCCGAUUGCGAAGGCAGUUCACUGGACUGCAACUGACACUGAGGCUCGAAAGUGUGGGUAUCAAACAGGAUUAGAUACCCCAGUAGUC
Molecule: ribosomal RNA, 460 nt
Filed under: uncultured bacterium
Lineage: Bacteria
Description: partial 16S ribosomal RNA
Rfam family: Bacterial small subunit ribosomal RNA
Source: RNAcentral